GACCAACUAAGUUUGUUCUGGGUAUAAGCUUUCAUGUGCAUGCACACUUCUACAGAUAUGAAAGCUUAUACCCAGAACAAACUUAGUUGGUC
This 92-nucleotide microRNA precursor is filed under the name Podarcis lilfordi (Lilford's wall lizard). Lineage: Eukaryota; Metazoa; Chordata; Lepidosauria; Squamata; Lacertidae. The record is from RNAcentral.